This 74-nucleotide transfer RNA is filed under the name Verrucomicrobiaceae bacterium. RNAcentral describes it as "tRNA-Ser". It matches the Rfam family "tRNA". From Rfam's summary of the family: Transfer RNA (tRNA) molecules are approximately 80 nucleotides in length. Lineage: Bacteria; Pseudomonadati; Verrucomicrobiota; Verrucomicrobiia; Verrucomicrobiales; Verrucomicrobiaceae. The record is from RNAcentral.
GGGGCCGGAGGAUGAUGGUAGUCCACCGCAGAUUUGAGACCUCGGAAGACUGGGUUCGAUCCCCAGCGGCUCCA